RNAcentral lists this ribosomal RNA (305 nucleotides) under uncultured bacterium. RNAcentral's name for it is "partial 16S ribosomal RNA". It matches the Rfam family "Bacterial small subunit ribosomal RNA", at positions 508 to 807 of the family's 1533-position model. The record is from RNAcentral.
ACAGCAGCCGCCGCGGGAAUACAGAGGGUGCGAGCGUUAAUCGGAUUUACUGGGCGUAAAGCGUGCGUAGGCGGCUUUUUAAGUCGGAUGUGAAAUCCCCGAGCUUAACUUGGGAACUGCAUUUGAAACUGGCAAGCUAGAGUCUUGUAGAGGGGGGUAGAAUUCCAGGUGUAGCGGUGAAAUGCGUAGAGAUCUGGAGGAAUACCGGUGGCGAAGGCGGCCCCCUGGACAAAGACUGACGCUCAGGUGCGAAAGCGUGGGGAGCAAACAGGAUUAGAUACCCCUGUAGUCCCUGUCUCUUAUAC